CAGUCGCCACGGUAAUACGUAGGGUGCAAGCGUUAAUCGGAAUUACUGGGCGUAAAGCGUGCGCAGGCGGUUAUAUAAGACAGAUGUGAAAUCCCCGGGCUCAACCUGGGAACUGCAUUUGUGACUGUAUAGCUAGAGUACGGCAGAGGGGGAUGGAAUUCCGCGUGUAGCAGUGAAAUGCGUAGAUAUGCGGAGGAACACCGAUGGCGAAGGCAAUCCCCUGGGCCUGUACUGACGCUUAUGCACGAAAGCGUGGGGAGCAAACAGGAUUAGAUACCCGGGUAGUCCCUGUCUCUUAUAC
This 301-nucleotide ribosomal RNA is filed under the name uncultured bacterium. RNAcentral describes it as "partial 16S ribosomal RNA". It matches the Rfam family "Bacterial small subunit ribosomal RNA", at positions 509 to 807 of the family's 1533-position model. The record is from RNAcentral.